AGCAAAGUGAACUUGAUUACAAUUUAGAUCAGAUCUUUUACCACUUGUCAUUUCUGAAGAAUCAGAACAUGGACACCAAGUGAUACAAAGCUAGAAGCUCAUUUUAUUUCUGUUUCUUCUCUGUCUUCUUCACCUUCUUAGUGGUCUUCUUCUGGAGCUUCUUAAUUUCAUGCUUAAUGAUCCUGUUUCUCAUUUUCUUUGCCUUCAUAACCUUGUAACGAUCGAAGUCAGUCAUUUUGGCUUUCUUUUCUCUGGCUUCAAUCUUCUUCGCCCAUCGUGUUGCUGCCCACUUCUCAUUUAUAUUCUCCUUCUCCCAGGCACGACGCACACACUUCUGACGAGCGCUGUGCGGGAACUUGAGAACAAAGUCAGUCAGCUGCAUGCACUUGAAGGGCAUGGCUUGUCUUCUGACACCACUGCAGGGGCCAUCCACUAGCGCCCUGUUCUGGUCGAUAACAUCCACGAUGGCCACCAGCUUGCCAGCAUGCCUCCCGAAGGAGACGAAGGCGAUUCUGCCGAUCUCGACGAAGCGUUUGAACACCAUGAUGGCCGCCCGCGAGCAGAAAGGGAAGGGCGGGCCCCGCGCCGGCCGGAAGCCGCCCUCGAGGCGCUACCGCGCAUGUGCGGAGGCGGGAUCGAGCUCGCCCUGCUCAGCGCGCCCGCGCGGAACGCUCUCUUCGGCUCAAGGCCGGUCAGGAAUGGCGGCGUGCCAAUACGCAUGCGCGGUGGGCUGCGCGGCUCUGCGUGCGUGUACGUGCUGGGGUGCGCUGCAGAGGUGGCGUGCAGCCAUGUCCCGAGAGACGGGCAGCCCGCGAGCAUCCGCACAGCGCUGCCACUGCGAACUGGUGCUGCUGCCGCACGAAGGUGCCACCGGGCCCUGCACACCAUCAGGGCGUGGCAGAAAAGCUCCGUCAGCUCGCUGUGUGCGCACGUACGUGUUCUGCAGGGUUUGAUUCUGUAAGCAUUAGCCAAAAACGUGCCGUGGGAAAGAAGAGAGUAAGCAAAAUGCACCGCAGAGCACUGAUGGAAAACAGGUCUGACCUUUGUUCUGCUGUGUUUUCUGUCAGCAGUGAGAAUAAAUAUCCCAGUUUAGCUGUCUGAAGUGUGGCCUUUAUUGUUUUUGUUUCUAGAAGAAAACAGAGCCAGUAAAUAAAGCACUCGAUUCACAGUCAUAGCAUCCUCAGAGUUGGAAGGGACCUUUAAAGGCCAUCCAGUCCAACUCCCCUGCAGUGAACAGGGACACCUACAGCUCCAUCGGGUGCUCAGCCCCAUCCAGCCCCACCUUCAGUGUCUCUGGGGAUGGAGCAUCCGCCUCCUCUCAGGGCAGCCUAUCCCAGUGCCUCACCACCCUCACUCCCCCCUUCAGGCGCUGAAGCCUGCUGUCA
Molecule: long non-coding RNA, 1385 nt
Filed under: Gallus gallus (chicken)
Lineage: Eukaryota; Metazoa; Chordata; Aves; Galliformes; Phasianidae
Source: RNAcentral